Misgurnus anguillicaudatus (oriental weatherfish) is the source of this 1061-nucleotide non-coding RNA. The record is from RefSeq and is a predicted model, not a curated record. Lineage: Eukaryota; Metazoa; Chordata; Actinopteri; Cypriniformes; Cobitidae.
GCAAUUGUUGUUAAUACUCAGGAAAUUACUCAGGAAAUGAUGUUUGUCCAGGUGUCCUAUGGUCUCUGUUGUUUCACGCCUCCCCUCUCCUGUGUGAGUGUUUAAAGAAAUCAGAAGUUAGUAAAAAGAUAAGUUAGAAUUUUGUUUGUCAGAAUGUUUUGCUUUUAAGCAUAAUGUCUGUGAAUAAAUUAAUACAUAUGAUUAAAGAAAUAAGAAGACCUGAUGAAGAAACAAUGUUAAAUAAAAUAAUUGUAAUAGUAUUUAGGUAGGUUUUUUAAAAGAGGUACCUGUUAGGAGCUCAAUUGAAUAAGCUGUUGUCUUCCUGUCUUGAAAGUUUUAAUGUAAAUCUUUCCUUCAAAGCCAGUCAUCGUCGUCUAUCUGGGUCACUCCCCAAGACUUCUGAUACGUCGGUACAGUUUAAUAGAAUAAAAGUUUAGGAACUUGGCUAGGUGUUAAGACAUUUCCUUUCCCUGUAGACUAAGUGUCUGCUCACGCCAAAGGCCCUUCCUUGAUAUUUAAAUACAACCAAUACUGUCGUCUUCAUCCUGUAUCAAGGUAAGGUGCUAGGUGGUUAGAUCAAUGUUUCAGAACAGUGCUAGGGUGUGUAGACUUAGAGGAUACACAAACCAAACGGCCAUUGCUUGAUAUUUAAAUACAACCAAUACUGUCGUCUUCAUCCUGUAUCAAGGUAAGGUGCUAGGUCGUUAGAUCAAUGUUUCAGAACAAUGCUAGCGUGUGUAGACUUAGGGGAUACACAAAUCAAAUGGCCCUUGCUUAUAUUUUAAUUCACCCUUUCCUUAAACACACCUUUUUCAUGGGGACAAACAGAUCUUUUGAUUUGUAGUGUUUAAAUGUAAUUUAAUUAAAAAGUAGAUUUAAGUAUAGCAUUGCUUAUUCUUUUGCGCUUUAGAUGUCUACACAUAAAUAAAAUUGUAUACAUAUAGUUAUAAGUAUGCGUGGGUGAAAUGUUAUGUCAUUUGUCUUAUACUGUUUAAAAUGUUAAUAUAUUAAAUGUAUGAUUUAAAAUAAAAUUACUCUAUUAACAGUGAUGAGUAAUUAUA